This is a long non-coding RNA of Mesocricetus auratus (golden hamster), 3157 nucleotides long. RefSeq lists it as uncharacterized. The record is from RefSeq and is a predicted model, not a curated record. Lineage: Eukaryota; Metazoa; Chordata; Mammalia; Rodentia; Cricetidae. The transcript has 5 exons.
UUGGCAGUUGAUGGGUUCCUACCUAAGAAGGAAGGGAGGCCUCCAGUGCCUCAAAUGCCCAUCAUGUCCCCAGCAGGUUAUAAGGUCUCUGACAGGGCAAUGUCACAUGACAGACAGCUCUGAGCUAUUUAUUCUCUCUCUGAAAGACAUACAUUGGAAAUAGCUAAAAGUCAAAACAAGCAGCAAAACAAAUAACCCAUGCAGGCCUGCAGUAUCUGCCUUGAUAGAAAAUUAAACUUGGUCUGGGAUUGGGGCAAAGAGUAUUUGGGAAGGUCAGCCCAUGUGUGUAACUCUGGAAAACUGUCUGGAUACUGCCAACUAUUGCUAAAAUGGCCACACAUUUUUCUUAGCCCAGCGUUCGGCUCCUUUGCAGUUCCUCUGCCAAGAGAUGAGCCUGUUUCCCCAUGCAUUAGAUCUGGCUUUAGCUGCUGGAAUAUGGGUAAGUUAGACAUGUGACUGUUUUGAACCUGGGCCUCAAGGAGCACUGCACACUUUCUUUUCCUCUCUCGUGACCACUAAGUGAACAAGCUCCAGAUAGCCAGCUGGAGGUGACAGUCACGUGGCUAAUCAUCCUGCUUCAGAGGCUGACAGCCAUCCAACCACCACAGGUGGUCAUCCCAGAAUAGCUAGGUACCAGGUGACCCCUUGUUUGAUCACAGACAUGCUAGCCUAGCUGAGCAUUUUUGAUGAGCAGACCCACCUUACCCAGCCACAGGAUGUCGAAGAGAAAUGAAUGGUGGUUGUUAAUAGCCGCAAAGUUUGGGAAUCAUAUCCCAGCUCCUCAGGGUUACUGCAAGGAUCAUCCAAGAUGAUGCAGCAUCAUAAACUGGCAGAAAAUGCUAUCUGAUUCCUACCAUGGAGUUAUGGAAGAGACCGCAGAGCUCUCUAAGAGCAUGUGUGAAGCCACAUGACAGGAACUUCACUUCCUAAGCUCCCACUAUCUCAUUUAAUUCUAAAAACCCAUUUUCAGUGUUUUGAGAAUUCCACCCCUGUAUAAGACUAGGGCUGAAAUCCAAGAGUUAUCUGGCCAGGAUUCAUACUAAUAAUAGUGUAGCCAGAUUGAACUUAGUCCUAUGGAAAGCUAAAGGUCACAUCUCUAACUAUUGUCAUUUAAAACCUUUGGUUCAUAUAUUUAAAGACUACCUUUGAGGCCUGCUCACUGAAAGGGAUGAAUGAUAAUGCAAAAGAAAGAUUAACACAUCCUAUUUGUAGAAGACCAAAGAAAAGAAAAGCUAGUGGCUUUACUCUGCUGCUGAGAUAAAACAGACAGUAAGUCCUGUUUACAGAAGUUAUGAGCUGUAAGGCUACUAGGUUCAGGCUGAUCUGUUUCAGAAACAGGCUUGGCUAAUAGCAUAGCUGGCUUGGAGAUGAGGGAGCUGUUUGUGCAUUCACAGACCUAUAGGUUUGUAUAGAUGUGUAUCUCAUGUAGGUGAGGUCUCAGUUCCAUAAUGGCUGAAUGAGGGAAGUAGUUAUAAUCACAGUGUUUGAGUAACAGUCCUGAUGUCUUCCUGGGCAACUCCUGACCUCUUAGCACUUCUGUUUCCUUAUUUUCAGAAUGAAGAUGAAUGAGAUAAUGAAAAUUGAACCACCACAGGAAUAUCAGUUGUUGUUAUUAUUAUAAGAGCAGAACCAUUAUUGAAAUUGAAGAGGCUUUGCGUUAAACAAAGACAUGUAUGGUACUUGGUUCUAGAGCCAAAGCUCCUGGAACAAGGUUCACUGGUUAUCACAGAGAUUUUUGUGGGUGAUUGGAGCUAUUAAUGAACAAUACCAAACAUGACAGAAAAACCCAGUUAACUUUGCUCAAGGUAGCCUGGCAUUUCUUCCUCCACUUGGAAGUAACAAGUUGCUGGCGUGGAUCUAGUUAUGCAGUAAUCCCCUCUUACUAUUCUAUACUCUCUCAUGAUUUUGACUUUUGUCCUCAUAGUUAGUGCCUCAUGGCCUCAAGAUAGCUGCUGCAGUUCCAGUCAAGAGAGGGAAAUGGUAGAACCUCGCAUUUUCUCAGAAACCAACACACGGAUGAUGAGAUAUGUCCUCUUGAGGUAACUCUGAGGAAAGCUGAAGGUGUUGUGAAUCUAAGAAAAUCACAGAAGGGAAUGUCACACUCCUUUCAAUGAAGAAUUCGUGUGAAGACAGACAAGAAAAGCAUCCUUAGUAUGAAAAACUCACUGAAAGAAAAUUCUUGCAGCCUACGGUAUUUGGUGGGCUGGAAGGAACUUCGUCACGGUAGGCCUUAUUAUCCUGUGUCAGGACACAUUCUUUUGUAAGUACAAUGGAAACCAUUGGCCUUGCCCAACUCCCUUCUGCAAAUUCCAUGUGUGCUGAAUUUCCACGGAAUUCCUAUUUAUAACACAACAGAGGUGCUGAAGACCUGUCAGAGCCACGCUCAAAGCUUAACUGAAGCACUCUCGUUUCCUUUCCUCCUGGCCUUUGGUUACUGAAAACAUUUGCUGAAAAUUGCUGUCCCACUCAAGAACUGUCAAAGGUAAUUGUGUUGCACAGAAGUUACCAAGAAGCAUGAAAUAAUAUGGUUACCACCUGGUGACCAAGUUAAUAGAACCUGUCUGAUGAGCCGCCAGUCCUGCCACAUGUGAACACACCAGUUUCUGUCUGAAAGACACGGCAGCAUGAAUUGAUCUUGUUGCUUCUGGAAUCAAACUCAAGGCCUCAUGCAUGCUAGGCAAGUGCCCUUCCCUGAGAUACCUCCCUUGAGAGUGGCAUGGCCCUCCACAUUAUUCAUGGACACACACAGAACAGCUAGCAAACAAGAGCCCUGGGAAAGUGUAUGCUAACACAAGGUCAGCACAUGUUGGAGGUUUUCCUGCUCAGGACAGAUGUGCAACCAAGCUUUGCAGAGGGGACCCAAGACCUCUACAUCGCUAAAGAACAAAAGGAGUGUUGUGGCCUGCCGGAGUAUUGUGUAUAACAUAAACAGAAAUGUUCUGGUACAUUUCUUUGGAACAUCUACAAAGAAAUAGCUGAUGACUAAGAGAAGGGGCAGAAGAUAAACAGCAUCUUCCGACAGAGUGGUGUGAAAAUGUGAUCAUUUGAACCAGGAAUCCUUGGAAGAUUUUUCUUUAAUGCUGUGGAGAGCCUCUGUGAGUGCCUCUUUGGGCUUUGAUUUCCUCCUCUGAAAGAUAAAAGUCUCAAAAUUGGUUGU